CCUCUAUAGUGUCUUUCUUUGCAAUUAAUGCAGCAUCCAUUUUUUUUCCCAUCAUCCUUUGGCUAUUGCUACAAUAGAUGAUCACACUCUCAAACAUUCAAGACACAAAAGAGAACUCAGUCUGAUACUGUCUGUGAAUCUGUCUGUGACACACACACGACUCACGACCACAGAAAGCCGCUUCAGACAGCGCUUGAACAGACAAAAACACACAAAAUUGUGCCAAAAUGCCAGUUUUGUCGAGUAUCCUCUCAAGCACAGUCUAAAUGAGUUAAAUGAAGUCUUAAAUGAAAGUAAAGAGAUGUGAGAAAAUGUUUCAUAUCUGUGUCAUGUGAUUCAGAUCUUCCAUAUCAAGCCUAAUAAACCUGCUGCUGUCGGUCAUUAAUGAUAAUCAAAGAACAAAAGAACAAGAGAAAAUCACUCACUGCUCUUGACUGAAAAACUUUUGUAACUUUAAUAAGGAUGAAUUUAUUUUACAUUUAUAUAAUUAAUGCAGUGAAGACUGAAUUGUUUUAUAACUUGAUUCAAUUUCUGUAUAUUUCCUACAUGUUAGACCCUAAAAAUCUUACAGCACGGGUCAAAUAUGAGAACAAUAACCUUUUGUGCAUUUUGACAGGACUAGUAAAAAUCAGAACCGGUCUGACUGCAGCAAUAAAAACAAAUUGAGCCCUGAUAUAUUGAAGGAUAUAAAUACAUGUGAAGAUUGUUUUUAAUUUCACUUAAAUUAAUAGCUGUUAUAUUUUUUAAAUAUUUAAAUUGAUAUCUUUCAAUUAUACUGUAAUGCUGAAUGACUAUAAUCAUGGGUAAAAUUGAGAAAAAAAUCUGGAAGACAUCAGUAGCAGUAUUGGUAUCAGUGAUACUGACCUUCUUUCAUAAAAAGAUGACAUUAAACAACUGUUUAAAAUAUAGACAUCUGUCUUUAUGUUGUUUUUUACAUUAAUUUGAUUAAAUGUGAAAAUAUAUAAUAAUGUUAGGUGUGAUUAAUUGCGAUUAAUUAGGCUUACAGAUAAAUGUGAUUAAUUAGUUAAUUUUAUAAUCGGUUGACAGCAGAUGGUUAUUUGUUUGAAGUCCUGCUUAUUAAAAGUUACGUUCAUCUUCAUUACAGUAGUGAAUAUCAGAUCAGCUGACAGACGAGACAUCAGUAUUUAUAUUACAAUUAUCACAAUGAUUCUUCUGAAAUAUGAAUACAGAUUUAUGCUUUGUAAGGCAUGCGCAUACAACUGAAUUCAUCAUGUACAGUUAUUCACUGCGGUUAUGUAAUUAGUUUUUAUUUGUACAGUAACUGUAAAUGAUUCAACAGUGUUUCAUGUAUUUCAAAGUAGUAAAGAAAACAGUUAAACCUUGCACAUGCAUGUUGAGUUGAUAAUAAAAAUUAAGUUGAAAGAAUGUUUCAGGAUCAUACUAACCUUUAGAUGUCAUCUAUUAACAUUAAGAAAACCGGACAUUUUAACGUUUCCAUAACCAAAACAUAAUGUUUGGAAAACUUUUUAGCUGUCGUAUUUCAGUAGUUCUGGCAGACAAAUUGUGUGCAAAAGCCAUUACUCAAAAUGUCUGAUUUUUAAUAAUAGAUACAAAAAACAAAAAACAAACAAAUGACUGAUUACCAGCCAGUACCACGGUAUUUCUGACAUGUUGCCAAGCAGCAGAUUUGCAUCUCAAUUCACAGUAAAUGAUCUUCAUCACUGCAUGUGCUGCUGUACACAAAGGAAGAUAUUUUGAAAAAUGUCAGUAACCAAACAGACCUCGCUCCCCAUUGACUGCCAUCACAUCCUUCCUUCCUUUGGAUGAUCUUGUGUUCAGCAGAACAAAGAAAUUCAUACCCUUGAUGAAAACCCUUAAUGAAAUAUCUCUUUAAACUGGACAAUGACACCAUUUUCUUCUAAAGCUGCCAAAAUUAUGUUCCCUCUAUCAGUGUAAAGCUGCUUUGACACAAUCUGCAUUGUAAAAAGUGUUAUAUUAUUAAAGGUGACUUGAUUUGACUUGAUAAAAUAAAACACUCUUUGUAAUCAUAA
Long non-coding RNA from Ctenopharyngodon idella (grass carp), 2012 nucleotides. RefSeq lists it as uncharacterized. The transcript is spliced from 2 exons. The record is from RefSeq and is a predicted model, not a curated record. NCBI's taxonomy places the organism in Eukaryota, Metazoa, Chordata, Actinopteri, Cypriniformes, Xenocyprididae.